Molecule: ribosomal RNA, 218 nt
Filed under: uncultured prokaryote
Description: partial 16S ribosomal RNA
Rfam family: Bacterial small subunit ribosomal RNA
Source: RNAcentral
UACGUAGGGGGCAAGCGUUGUCCGGAUUUAUUGGGCGUAAAGAGCGUGUAGGCGGCCAGACAGGUCUGCUGUGAAAACUCGAGGCUCAACCUCGAGAUGUCGGCGGAAACCGUCUGGCUAGAGUCCGGAAGAGGAGAGUGGAAUUCUUGGUGUAGCGGUGAAAUGCGCAGAUAUCAGGAAGAACACCGGUGGCGAAGGCGGUUCUUUGGGCAUUACCU